Molecule: ribosomal RNA, 203 nt
Filed under: uncultured bacterium
Lineage: Bacteria
Description: partial 16S ribosomal RNA
Rfam family: Bacterial small subunit ribosomal RNA
Source: RNAcentral
UAAUACGUAGGGGGCAAGCGUUGUCCGGAAUCAUUGGGCGUAAAGAGCGUGUAGGCGGCCAGAUAAGUCCGCUGUGAAAACUCGAGGCUCAACUUCGAGCUGUCGGUGGAAACUAUUUGGCUAGAGUCCGGAAGAGGAGAGUGGAAUUCCUGGUGUAGCGGUGAAAUGCGCAGAUAUCAGGAAGAACACCCGUGGCGAAGGCG